This 253-nucleotide ribosomal RNA is filed under the name uncultured bacterium. RNAcentral's name for it is "partial 16S ribosomal RNA". It matches the Rfam family "Bacterial small subunit ribosomal RNA", at positions 524 to 776 of the family's 1533-position model. The record is from RNAcentral.
UACGUAGGGUGCGAGCGUUGUCCGGAAUUAUUGGGCGUAAAGGGCUCGUAGGCGGUCUGUUGCGUCGGGCGUGAAAACUCGGGGCUUAACCCCGAGCCUGCUUCUGAUACGGGCAGACUAGAGGUAUGCAGGGGAGAACGGAAUUCCUGGUGUAGCGGUGAAAUGCGCAGAUAUCAGGAGGAACACCGGUGGCGAAGGCGGUUCUCUGGGCAGUACCUGACGCUGAGGAGCGAAAGUGUGGGGAGCGAACAGG